This 256-nucleotide ribosomal RNA is filed under the name uncultured bacterium. Its description in RNAcentral is "partial 16S ribosomal RNA". It matches the Rfam family "Bacterial small subunit ribosomal RNA", at positions 521 to 776 of the family's 1533-position model. The record is from RNAcentral.
UAAUACGAAGGGGGCUAGCGUUGCUCGGAAUCACUGGGCGUAAAGCGCACGUAGGCGGACUCUUAAGUCAGAGGUGAAAUCCUGGAGCUCAACUCCAGAACUGCCUUUGAUACUGGGAGUCUCGAGUUCGGGAGAGGUGAGUGGAACUGCGAGUGUAGAGGUGAAAUUCGUAGAUAUUCGCAAGAACACCAGUGGCGAAGGCGGCUCACUGGCCCGAUACUGACGCUGAGGUGCGAAAGCGUGGGGAGCAAACAGG